GGCAGAGGAAAGCAGGAGACUUGGUCAUCUGUCAAAAGCAUUCUCUGGCGAGAUGGCAGACAACCCUCCCAAAUUCCUUUUUAAAGAAGAAAAAUAAGCAGGUGAAUUGACAUUUCAGAUCCAUAUGGAAAGCCAAGCAGAGGAACAGAAAACAAAUCUCUCCAACUAGAAAGGGGCAGAAAACACAGACAGGAAGAAAGCAGUUAAGCUUGUGCACCUCUUCUGUCUCUUCCAGGACUUUGGCCAAACUGGCUUCUGCAGGCAACAACUGAAGAUGCUCUUCGGGAAAGGACAGGCUGUAAGGAGCCGCUGGGGAGGGGCAGAAAACCCGAGGGCUCCUAGAUAAGCCGCUGUUAACACGAUCCAUAUGGGCUAGGCUCUGACCUCAAGAAAAUGAGCAAGAUACCAAAAGGGUAAGUGUUCCUUUGCUUUGGAGAAAUACAUGUCCAGUAAACAGGAAGAAAACCUGGAUAUUGAUAUGUUGACUGGAGUAAUAAUUACCUUUCCCAGAAACAAAGAAAGAAAUUGCUCUGGAAUUAUGUACUUUAAGGAUGCUGGCAGCAAAAAGAGAUAAAUCUCUGAUCGAGUCUACUGUCCAAUCCUCCUUGAUUUCAGAGCACUCUAUAUACGCAGUCCUCAACAUACAACAGUUUGUUUAGUGACCAAAGUUAUGAAGACACUGAAAAAAGUGACUUAUUUUCCGUUUUUCACACUUAUAACUGGUGAAGCAUCCCUUAGUCAUGUAAUAAAAAUUAAAUAAAUGUUUGUAUAUCUUUUAUUAA
Non-coding RNA from Pantherophis guttatus, 782 nucleotides. The record is from RefSeq and is a predicted model, not a curated record. NCBI's taxonomy places the organism in Eukaryota, Metazoa, Chordata, Lepidosauria, Squamata, Colubridae.